GGUGGCUCCGUGGCAGAGCACUUGUCUUGCAUGCAUGAGGCCCUGGGUUCGAUUCCCCAGCACCA
This 65-nucleotide transfer RNA is filed under the name Dipodomys ordii (Ord's kangaroo rat). It matches the Rfam family "tRNA". Rfam says of the family: Transfer RNA (tRNA) molecules are approximately 80 nucleotides in length. Their secondary structure includes four short double-helical elements and three loops (D, anti-codon, and T loops). Further hydrogen bonds mediate the characteristic L-shaped molecular structure. tRNAs have two regions of fundamental functional importance: the anti-codon, which is responsible for specific mRNA codon recognition, and the 3' end, to which the tRNAs corresponding amino acid is attached (by aminoacyl-tRNA synthetases). tRNAs cope with the degeneracy of the genetic code in two manners: having more than one tRNA (with a specific anti-codon) for a particular amino acid; and 'wobble' base-pairing, i.e. permitting non-standard base-pairing at the 3rd anti-codon position. The record is from Rfam by way of RNAcentral. Lineage: Eukaryota; Metazoa; Chordata; Mammalia; Rodentia; Heteromyidae.